AGUGGCGGACGGGUGAGUAACGCGUGGGUAACCUGCCUCAUACAGGGGGAUAACAGUUAGAAAUGACUGCUAAUACCGCAUAAGCGCACAGUACCGCAUGGUACGGUGUGAAAAACUCCGGUGGUAUGAGAUGGGCCCGCGUCUGAUUAGGUAGUUGGUGGGGUAACGGCCUACCAAGCCGACGAUCAGUAGCCGACCUGAGAGGGUGACCGGCCACAUUGGGACUGAGACACGGCCCAA
RNAcentral lists this ribosomal RNA (240 nucleotides) under uncultured bacterium. RNAcentral's name for it is "partial 16S ribosomal RNA". It matches the Rfam family "Bacterial small subunit ribosomal RNA", at positions 94 to 334 of the family's 1533-position model. The record is from RNAcentral.